GCGUCGCUAGGUGCUUAAAAAUAUUCUAGACUCGGGGAUUCGGGGCACUGUCAAAUAAAAUCGGGGCGUGGGCCUAGCGACACCUCUUUGUUAACUGAUGGUUGAUUUCCUUUUUCUGAAUUGUUGAAAGAAUGUUUUUCUCUUUGUCGUAUUUUGUGGAAAAUUUGUUGUAACGACGAUAAAACAUCUAAAUCCUUAUCAUCAUCUUGCUCAGUUGGAUUUUAAAAAAUCGUGGUGACAGGAAGUUGAGCUGAUGCUUUUGUAAAACAAAAAAUACAUAAGGGGACUGAAAACCAUUUAGAGGUUCAAAGUGCUGAAAAUAAGUGAUGGCUUCAUUUGAACUUGUUCCUGGUUGCUGGGUUGGAGGUAAUUGUCCAUGUUUUAUCAUAGCUGAGAUUGGACAGAAUCAUCAAGGUGACAUCAACAUUGCCAAAAAUAUGAUUGAAGUUGCCAAGAAGUGUGGAGCUAACUGUGUGAAAUUCCAGAAAUCAGACCUGAAUAGUCGAUUUAACAAAGCAGCUCUUGACAGACCUUACACAAGCCACCAUUCCUGGGGGAAUACAUAUGGACAACACAGAGCUCACUUAGAAUUCAGUGAGAGCCAGUUCAAAGAAUUAAAAAAACAUGCAGAAAGGCAUGAAAUAAUCUUUUCUGCUUCUGGGAUGGACAUGGUUUCAUUGAGGUUCUUGAACCAGUUAGGUGUUCCAUUCUUUAAAAUAGGUUCUGGUGAUGCAAAUAACUAUUCUUUGAUACAGGAUGUUGCAAGAUUUGGAAAACCUUUAAUUGUAUCCACAGGCAUGCAAUCCAUAGACACAGUGCAGAAAGUAUAUUAUUUGUUAAAACAGUUCAACAUUAAACUUGGUUUUCUACACUGUGUUAGUGCUUACCCAGCUCCUCCUUCUGAUAUAAAUCUUCGGGUUAUCCAGAGUUAUCAGGAAAAGUUUCCAGAUGUUGUCAUUGGUUAUUCAGGACAUGAAACUGGGACUGACAUCAGUAUUGCAGCUGUUGCCUUAGGAGCUAAGAUCCUUGAGCGCCAUCUCACAUUGGAUAAAACAUGGAAAGGUAGUGACCACUGUGCAUCUCUUGAUCCAGAGGAAUUUCAGCAGUUAGUGUCUCAAGUUAGAAAUGUUGAAACAGCCUUAGGUUCACAUAUUAAAAUCGUGAGAGAGUCUGAAAUUGCUUGCUACAGAAAGAAGGGCUCAGUCACUUCAACUGACAUUGCAACCACCAAUCCACAGGUUAGUUCAGUUACUUUAAAACCCAACUGACAAGAAGAAUUCUUCCCCUCUAUCUCUCUCACUAUACAAUCUGGGAUAAAUUCACUUACGUUACCCCAUGGGUUACCACAGUUGUAUCCAGAACUUCAAAUAACUGUCUCCUUUUGUCAACGUCCACACAGAUGGGUUCAAUUACUUUAGAACACCCUUCGACAAGACAAAUUAUUCUUUUUAUCUCUGUUUUUGUCUUUUUUGAUGUCUGUCCUAUGAAGAAACGUAACCAUAAUUUCUCGUAAGUAUAUUAAAUAUUCAAUAACAUCCUUUUUGUUUUUUAAAAAUAAUAAUAUUCUUCCUUUUAGCUAUAAGUUGGUUGUUGUCAGUUGGGCUAUCAGCUGUGUCCACCAUAGGGAACUGUUGUAAGUCUGUAAACUUACUGUUGCCCCACUAAGGGGCUUAGCCAUAAGCCCUUCAAGUAGUGGAGAUACUUUUUUCAUAAAAAUAUAGCUUUUUAAACUUGAUAACACAAGGGCAAUGAAAAAAAAAUUGUUGGCAGCUUUGAAGCAUUUACCAUGUAAAUAAUCUAAAUAUUCAGUAACUUCCUUUUUAUAUAUAAAAUUGUUCAUAUUUGUUAAUAGUGAAUUUUUUAAGUUAACAUGCCAUGCAUUUAUAUAUUAUAUCCUUAAAUCUGCUUACAAAUCCUUUAAAUAGGUUUAACUUUUCUUUCUUAAACCUAUUAUGAUGAACGUUGAGUGUCUAACAAAUUACUUGUUUUGUGCAUUGCAGAUAACUUUAGUACAUUCGCAAUAUUUACCUUUUUCUCAUCAGGUGUAAGAUAUUCUAAGCUUGGCAAAACACUGGUAGCUUCACAAAAUUUACAGUGUGGAACAGUUCUCUCAGAAGACAUGCUUGACAUAAAAGUUUCUGAACCUAAGGGACUAAAUGCAGACCAGUUCUAUAAUGUUAUAGGCCAUACUCUGAU
RNAcentral lists this unclassified non-coding RNA (2196 nucleotides) under Limulus polyphemus (Atlantic horseshoe crab). RNAcentral's name for it is "sialic acid synthase-like, transcript variant X13". Lineage: Eukaryota; Metazoa; Arthropoda; Merostomata; Xiphosura; Limulidae. The record is from RNAcentral.